Molecule: ribosomal RNA, 1076 nt
Filed under: Staphylococcus aureus
Lineage: Bacteria; Bacillati; Bacillota; Bacilli; Caryophanales; Staphylococcaceae
Description: partial 23S ribosomal RNA
Rfam family: Bacterial large subunit ribosomal RNA
Source: RNAcentral
UAAUCCUGUAGUCGAAAAUGUUGUCUCUCUUGAGUGGAUCCUGAGUACGACGGAGCACGUGAAAUUCCGUCGGAAUCAGGGAGGACCAUCUCCUAAGGCUAAAUACUCUCUAGUGACCGAUAGUGAACCAGUACCGUGAGGGAAAGGUGAAAAGCACCCCGGAAGGGGAGUGAAAUAGAACCUGAAACCGUGUGCUUACAAGUAGUCAGAGCCCGUUAAUGGGUGAUGGCGUGCCUUUUGUAGAAUGAACCGGCGAGUUACGAUUUGAUGCAAGGUUAAGCAGUAAAUGUGGAGCCGUAGCGAAAGCGAGUCUGAAUAGGGCGUUUAGUAUUUGGUCGUAGACCCGAAACCAGGUGAUCUACCCUUGGUCAGGUUGAAGUUCAGGUAACACUGAAUGGAGGACCGAACCGACUUACGUUGAAAAGUGAGCGGAUGAACUGAGGGUAGCGGAGAAAUUCCAAUCGAACCUGGAGAUAGCUGGUUCUCUCCGAAAUAGCUUUAGGGCUAGCCUCAAGUGAUGAUUAUUGGAGGUAGAGCACUGUUUGGACGAGGGGCCCCUCUCGGGUUACCGAAUUCAGACAAACUCCGAAUGCCAAUUAAUUUAACUUGGGAGUCAGAACAUGGGUGAUAAGGUCCGUGUUCGAAAGGGAAACAGCCCAGACCACCAGCUAAGGUCCCAAAAUAUAUGUUAAGUGGAAAAGGAUGUGGCGUUGCCCAGACAACUAGGAUGUUGGCUUAGAAGCAGCCAUCAUUUAAAGAGUGCGUAAUAGCUCACUAGUCGAGUGACACUGCGCCGAAAAUGUACCGGGGCUAAACAUAUUACCGAAGCUGUGGAUUGUCCUUUGGACAAUGGUAGGAGAGCGUUCUAAGGGCGUUGAAGCAUGAUCGUAAGGACAUGUGGAGCGCUUAGAAGUGAGAAUGCCGGUGUGAGUAGCGAAAGACGGGUGAGAAUCCCGUCCACCGAUUGACUAAGGUUUCCAGAGGAAGGCUCGUCCGCUCUGGGUUAGUCGGGUCCUAAGCUGAGGCCGACAGGCGUAGGCGAUGGAUAACAGGUUGAUAUUCCUGUACCACCUAUA